Molecule: ribosomal RNA, 253 nt
Filed under: uncultured bacterium
Lineage: Bacteria
Description: partial 16S ribosomal RNA
Rfam family: Bacterial small subunit ribosomal RNA
Source: RNAcentral
UACGUAGGGUGCAAGCGUUGUCCGGAAUUAUUGGGCGUAAAGAGCGUGUAGGCGGCCCGACCAGUCCGCUGUGAAAGUCCAGGGCUCAACCCUGGAAUGCCGGUGGAUACUGUCGAGCUAGAGUCCGGAAGAGGCGAGUGGAAUUCCUGGUGUAGCGGUGAAAUGCGCAGAUAUCAGGAGGAACACCAAUGGCGAAGGCAGCUCGCUGGGACGGUACUGACGCUGAGACGCGAAAGCGUGGGGAGCAAACAGG